GGAAUCUUCCGCAAUGGACGAAAGUCUGACGGAGCAACGCCGCGUGAGCGAAGAAGGUCUUCGGAUCGUAAAGCUCUGUUGUUAGGGAAGAACAAGUACCGUUCGAAUAGGGCGGUACCGUGACGGUACCUAACCAGAAAGCCACGGCUAACUACGUGCCAGCAGCCGCGGUAAUACGUAGGUGGCAAGCGUUGUCCGGAAUUAUUGGGCGUAAAGCGCGCGCAGGCGGCUUCUUAAGUCUGAUGUGAAAGCCCGCAGCUCAACUGCGGAGGGUCAUUGGAAACUGGGAAGCUUGAGUGCAGAAGAGGAGAGUGGAAUUCCACGUGUAGCGGUGAAAUGCGUAGAGAUGUGGAGGAACACCAGUGGCGAAGGCGGCUCUCUGGUCUGUAACUGACGCUGAGGCGCGAAAGCGUGGGGAGCAAA
RNAcentral lists this ribosomal RNA (423 nucleotides) under uncultured bacterium. RNAcentral describes it as "bacterial SSU rRNA". It matches the Rfam family "Bacterial small subunit ribosomal RNA", at positions 358 to 772 of the family's 1533-position model. The record is from RNAcentral.